AGCACUGUUGAACAUGGUACUUUGGAUGUGCUCCUCCACCGUUGGAGAUGCUUUCUGACAGCAUGGGGUCCUUCUCGGAUGCCUCUUAGUUGAAAUAAGAGGUGUCCCGGUGGCGGCGGCUCAGAAGCCCAGUCACAAAUCAAGGCUUUGUUCUUCAGAGCAAAGUACUGCAAAUCGCAAAGCAAUAUUUGGCAUCUUGUGAAGGGCAUCUGAUAGGAGGAGAAGCGGAUGACAUUCAGGUAUUUCUCUGCAGUCCUGUUAUUCCCGCUUUGUUUUAUUGAGAUGAAGUCCUGUGUUUCUAAAUACAGUAAGGACAACUCUCAGCAGGCCUUCUCCUUUCUCACAGUCCUAAGCCUGCGUUUCUCAUUGACUCUCUGCAAGUUCCCUUGCUUGGUUUUCUCUUCUAACCGGUCCCCACGCAUGUGCACAGUGUCAUGCAGCCAGCUCUCUCGCUUAGCCCUCAGCAGUUGGUCCUCGGGUGGUGGUUUUCGUUAAGUAUUAAGCUGUCAGCUGAUUUCACUAAAUUUAGGUCUUGGACGUGAGAUGUUUUUGAGGGGAUGCAAUUUUCAGAGCACUUUAUUGAAAAGCUAGGUAAAGCACCUCUCAAAAUCAUUCGAAUGUGGCAUUCAUUUUUUUCCUGUGAAUUCUCAGUAGACGUCUUUGCAGUGGAUUUCCAAACUAAAUUAGGCUUUGCGUAGUGCUUUUUCUGUAUUUAACAUUGCCUUUUCAGUAUUGCAGCCAAGGCUUCCUUUUAAAGGCAUGUACAUGAGAUUAUGCAACCAUAGUAUUCAGGA
This is a non-coding RNA of Struthio camelus australis, 794 nucleotides long. NCBI's taxonomy places the organism in Eukaryota, Metazoa, Chordata, Aves, Struthioniformes, Struthionidae. The record is from RefSeq and is a predicted model, not a curated record.